CUUCCAGCGGUCUAAAGUGGUGUUCAUUUGUCUUCCAUUCCCAAUGGCGGCCUGUUUUCUACCCAAACUGAAGGGAAAAGACUGGCUGAGGCGUUCAUAACCACAGCGUCCAACUGGUUCCUCCGUGGAGGAGGACUCGGCACCCUGAUGAGUUCCUCCUAAGCGUCCCACGGAGUCGGAGCACAAACAAGGAUGGGAGGGAAAGGAGUGCAGCAGGAGAGACGGAGGACGAGCUCAGCCGUGCUCGCUCUGUAGCGCAGGACCCGGGGAUUCCAGGACCUUUUGGUAGUUGUGAGCACGCAAACACUCACGCAGAAACACGGCUGUGAUACAAAUCUGUACAAGGCUCAGAGACGGAGUGA
Poecilia latipinna (sailfin molly) is the source of this 362-nucleotide long non-coding RNA. RefSeq lists it as uncharacterized. The transcript has 3 exons. NCBI's taxonomy places the organism in Eukaryota, Metazoa, Chordata, Actinopteri, Cyprinodontiformes, Poeciliidae. The record is from RefSeq and is a predicted model, not a curated record.